This 186-nucleotide non-coding RNA is filed under the name Sneathiellales bacterium. RNAcentral's name for it is "6S RNA". It matches the Rfam family "6S / SsrS RNA". Rfam says of the family: E. coli 6S RNA was the first non coding RNA to be sequenced, but its function was unknown until recently. Lineage: Bacteria; Pseudomonadati; Pseudomonadota; Alphaproteobacteria; Sneathiellales. The record is from RNAcentral.
UUCUUGCUGGGAGGUUUGUGACUUGGGUGGCGUCAAUAGGUCCCCCUAACGAGUACUAUCCGGGAUUUGUCCCUCGUCGUGGAGAGCAGGCCCUUCUGCAAGGGUAGCCGGAAGCGAUGAUAUGAAGCCCACCUUCUAAUUCAGAAGGGGAUAUGACUACACCCACACGGCCAACUCGGCAUCGGC